RNAcentral lists this ribosomal RNA (447 nucleotides) under uncultured bacterium. RNAcentral's name for it is "partial 16S ribosomal RNA". It matches the Rfam family "Bacterial small subunit ribosomal RNA", at positions 330 to 792 of the family's 1533-position model. The record is from RNAcentral.
UCCAGACUCCUACGGGAGGCAGCAGUGGGGGAUAUUGCACAAUGGGGGGAACCCUGAUGCAGCGACGCCGCGUGGGUGAAGGAGCGUUUCGGCGCGUAAAGCCCUAUCGGCAGGGAAGAAGGAGGACGGUACCUGACUAAGAAGCCCCGGCUAACUACGUGCCAGCAGCCGCGGUAAUACGUAGGGGGCAAGAGUUAUCCGGAUUUACUGGGUGUAAAGGGGGGCGCAGACGGCAGCGCAAGCCAGGAGUGAAAGCCCGGGGCCCAACCCCGGGACUGCUCUUGGAACUGCGCGGCUGGAGUGCAGGAGGGGCAGGCGGAAUUCCUGGUGUAGCGGUGAAAUGCGUAGAUAUCAGGAGGAACACCGGUGGCGAAGGCGGCCUGCUGGACUGCGACUGACGUUGAGGCCCGAAAGCGUGGGGAGCAAACAGGAUUAGAUACCCGGGUA